RNAcentral lists this long non-coding RNA (248 nucleotides) under Lathyrus oleraceus (garden pea). Its description in RNAcentral is "Pisum sativum (pea) long non-coding RNA (PSAT_LNC027714)". Lineage: Eukaryota; Viridiplantae; Streptophyta; Magnoliopsida; Fabales; Fabaceae. The record is from RNAcentral.
AGGCCUCCUACCCUUGGUUGCUUUUUGUGAAUUUUAAUGGCAUGAUUCAUGUGGUUACAUUUUGAUUUGGGGGCAACUCUUGAUUACCCUAUCCUGUUUGCUCUAACCUGUUUUGUGUUUGUUAUGGCAUUGUUUUCUCCUAAUUCCGUCAUAUUACUCUAACCUGUUUGUUGAGUUUUUGUGAGGGCUCACAUACUCUUGCAGGGAUAGCUUGCUUGGUGUUCCACUUUAUUUGUGGGGUACCACCU